This 495-nucleotide ribosomal RNA is filed under the name uncultured bacterium. Its description in RNAcentral is "partial 16S ribosomal RNA". It matches the Rfam family "Bacterial small subunit ribosomal RNA", at positions 28 to 507 of the family's 1533-position model. The record is from RNAcentral.
GACGAACGCUGGCGGCGUGCCUAAUACAUGCAAGUCGAACGCUGAAGGAGGAGCUUGCUUCUCUGGAUGAGUUGCGAACGGGUGAGUAACGCGUAGGUAACCUGCCUGGUAGCGGGGGAUAACUAUUGGAAACGAUAGCUAAUACCGCAUAAGAGUAGAUGUUGCAUGACAUUUGCUUAAAAGGUGCAAUUGCAUCACUACCAGAUGGACCUGCGUUGGAUUAGCUUGUUGGUGGGGUUACGGCUCACCAAGGCGACGAUACAUAGCCGACCGGAGAGGGUGAUAGGCCACACUGAGACUGAGACACGGCCCAGAGUCCUACGGGUGGCAGCAGGAGGGAAUCGUCGGCAAGAGCUGGAAGUCUGAGCGAGCUACGCCGAGGGAGUGAAGAAGGUUAUCGGAUGGUAAAGGUCUGUUGUAAGAGAAGAAAGAGUGUGAGAGUGGAAAGUUCACACUGUGACGGUAUCUUACCAGAAAGCGACGGCUAACUACGUG